Long non-coding RNA from Populus euphratica (Euphrates poplar), 466 nucleotides. RefSeq lists it as uncharacterized. The transcript has 3 exons. The record is from RefSeq and is a predicted model, not a curated record. Lineage: Eukaryota; Viridiplantae; Streptophyta; Magnoliopsida; Malpighiales; Salicaceae.
CUUUUGGUUUGGAAAAUUCAGUUCCUUUGCCUCUCAUUAGCCUUCCUAUGCUGUCGGGAGGGCCAUUGAACUGCGGCCAUCUUCCACAUGCAUGUACCAUUUGCAGGAGAUGAAAAUGACCCCGAGCAAAAUACCUCACCUGCAGAUGACAACCCAACAAAACCAGCUGCGAAGCGACAACAGAUCACGUCGCAUUCCCCUCCACAGGGCAACUAACUUACAAUUGAUCGAUCAUCAAUCAUCACUUUUGGAUGUUAAAAGGCUUUCAAUCUCUCGUUGGCUUCCAUUGCCUCUGUAUGUAUUAGCCAGCUGCUUAUAAGCAUUUUCGUGAACAGCCUUCCUCUUGACAAGUUGACGGUUAAGGUUCCUCUCUGCGUUCUCGAUCAUGGCUCGAUCAACAUCACUAUCUUUUUUUUCAUGAUCUCUUGUUCAUUAUAUAGUUCUCUGCUUAUGCGAUUAUUAACAA